ACAGGUCUGAACACAGCUCGAUGGCAACUCUCUGCGCAGUCUGCCAAGGCUCCAGCUCCAAACUGCUUCUCGGCAUCUUCCACCUUCUUUUUCAGAAAGAAGCGGAGUGCAGGGUGCCAGAGCGUUCUCAGGAACAGUGAUGGAUGUGUUUCCAAUAACUCGAUAGCACACCGGACCGCAGGAGAAUGUGAUGGAGAACAGCAGCUGAGGAAGGAAAGGCCGUUGCAGCAGAUAGUUGGGGAGCCACGUGCUGAAGCAGAAGAGUUUCCCAGCCGGAUGCAUCUCACAGAUCCCCAGACAGCUGACGUUCCCAGGAAGGGCAAGUCCCGCUGCGUUCUGGGGCAGGGCUGUCAGGAUGUGGGAAGAGCCAGCCUUCGGAAGAAUUGCUGCUUAUCUUCCCUCCACCAAGACGCUGAAGCCCAGCACGACAAACUGUUAUGUCUGCCUUGGAUUGGUGACAUCGAGAACGAUACGUGCUGGAUCACCAGAACAGAGUGGGAGCAGCACAGCUUGGCUUCGGGAGCCUAA
Molecule: long non-coding RNA, 528 nt
Filed under: Apteryx owenii (little spotted kiwi)
Lineage: Eukaryota; Metazoa; Chordata; Aves; Apterygiformes; Apterygidae
Description: lncRNA (ENSAOWG00000000151.1)
Source: RNAcentral